AACGUAGGGGGCAAGCGUUGCCCGGAUUCACUGGGCGUAAAGCGGGUGUAGGCGGUCCGUUAAGUCGGAUGUGAAAUCCCAGGGCUCAACCCUGGAAUUGCAUCCGAUACUGGCGGACUUGAGGAUGGUAGAGGUCGGUGGAAUUCCCGGUGUACCGGUGAAAUGGGCAGAUAUCGGGAGGAACACCAGUGGCGAAGGCGGCCGACUGGGCCAAUCCUGACGCUGAGACCCGAAAGCCAGGGGAGCGAACCGG
RNAcentral lists this unclassified non-coding RNA (253 nucleotides) under uncultured Actinomycetes bacterium. Its description in RNAcentral is "uncultured actinobacterium contains 16S-23S intergenic spacer region". It matches the Rfam family "Bacterial small subunit ribosomal RNA", at positions 524 to 776 of the family's 1533-position model. The record is from RNAcentral. Lineage: Bacteria; Bacillati; Actinomycetota; Actinomycetes.